GCAAGUCGAGGGGUAACAUUGGAGCUUGCUCCAGAUGACGACCGGCGCACGGGUGCGUAACGCGUAUAGAACCUACCUUUUACAGAGGGAUAGCCUUUAGAAAUGAAGAUUAAUACCUUAUAGUAUUGAGUACUCGCAUGAUUACUUACUUAAAGAUUUAUCGGUAAAAGAUGGCUAUGCGUCCUAUUAGCUAGAUGGUAAGGUAACGGCUUACCAUGGCAACGAUAGGUAGGGGCCCUGAGAGGGGGAUC
This 251-nucleotide ribosomal RNA is filed under the name uncultured bacterium. RNAcentral describes it as "partial 16S ribosomal RNA". It matches the Rfam family "Bacterial small subunit ribosomal RNA", at positions 57 to 305 of the family's 1533-position model. The record is from RNAcentral.